RNAcentral lists this ribosomal RNA (468 nucleotides) under uncultured bacterium. Its description in RNAcentral is "partial 16S ribosomal RNA". It matches the Rfam family "Bacterial small subunit ribosomal RNA", at positions 28 to 507 of the family's 1533-position model. The record is from RNAcentral.
GACGAACGCUGGCGGCGUGCUUAACACAUGCAAGUCGAACGGAAAGGCCCUGCUUUUGUGGGGUGCUCGAGUGGCGAACGGGUGAGUAACACGUGAGUAACCUGCCCUUGACUUUGGGAUAACUUCAGGAAACUGGGGCUAAUACCGGAUAGGAGCUCCUGCUGCAUGGUGGGGGUUGGAAAGUUUCGGCGGUUGGGGAUGGACUCGCGGCUUAUCAGCUUGUUGGUGGGGUAGUGGCUUACCAAGGCUUUGACGGGUGGCCGGCCUGAGAGGGUGACCGGCCACAUUGGGACUGAGAGACGGCCCAGACUCCUACGGGAGGCAGCAGUGGGGAAUAUUGCACAAUGGGCGGAAGCCUGAUGCAGCAACGCCGCGUGCGGGAUGACGGCCUUCGGGUUGUAAACCGCUUUCGCCUGUGACGAAGCGUGAGUGACGGUAAUGGGUAAAGAAGCACCGGCUAACUACGUG